UACACUAGGCUUGGCUUGGGCUUUUAUUUGUUUGUGAUGGGCUGUUUGUUUAUUGCAGCUUCAGGAUGACACGAUGAACUCCUGCAGCUUCUGAUCCACUGUGUCGGAAGACUUUCUCACACAGCCCAGCCCAGCCACUCCACCCCAUGUACAGCUCCUACGAACAUCCCUUUGCCUUGAUCCCCAUCGAAUGAUGUCCUGCAUGUUUGUACCUGUCCAUCCUCCACUUGCCAAGGUCUUUUUGCAUUGGGGCAGAUUUGGGGCUAGUGUCAACGCUUUAGCAAGGAGCUGCCUACACGUGUAACUGCACCAGAGGGCAGCAGGAAUCAACCCACAGCUCAACACAGCGAUUCCCCUUGAUAGGAGUAGGGAGGCAUAUGCAACAUCUGCAUAUUCCAGCAAGAGACGCAAAAUACCUGAGGCCAGAGAGGCAGCGAGCAGAAGCUUCUCUCUGCCGCGCUGUGGAUGCCGCCUCGCCGAUUAGCACCGAGUGACUGUGGGACCCAGGCACUGACAUCCUCUGGUGCGAUGGGGCAACCCCUGGGCUGGGGCUCAGCGUCCCCGUCCGUGAGCCUGCAGGAGCGGCCGUGGCAGGAGGUGUGGGUGCAACCGUGUGCCGCCUUUCCCGUGCUGUUAACCCCCAGGGCCUCACUCGGGGAUGGACGGGUCAAGACACGAGCUGUGCCGUUACCUUGCUGAUGUCCCACAGCACCAGUCUGCUCUGACGCUUGGCAAACUCGAGGGCAGUCGCUCUGCCUACACCGUGGCCAGCACCGGUGACGAGAACGAGCUCUCCACUGACAGACUUCCUCUUCACAGGGA
This is a long non-coding RNA of Strigops habroptila (Kakapo), 822 nucleotides long. RefSeq lists it as uncharacterized. The record is from RefSeq and is a predicted model, not a curated record. The transcript has 2 exons. NCBI's taxonomy places the organism in Eukaryota, Metazoa, Chordata, Aves, Psittaciformes, Psittacidae.